RNAcentral lists this ribosomal RNA (497 nucleotides) under uncultured bacterium. Its description in RNAcentral is "partial 16S ribosomal RNA". It matches the Rfam family "Bacterial small subunit ribosomal RNA", at positions 28 to 507 of the family's 1533-position model. The record is from RNAcentral.
GAUGAACGCUGGCGGCGUGCCUAAUACAUGCAAGUCGAGCGAACGGACGAGAAGCUUGCUUCUCUGAUGUUAGCGGCGGACGGGUGAGUAACACGUGGAUAACCUACCUAUAAGACUGGGAUAACUUCGGGAAACCGGAGCUAAUACCGGAUAAUAUUUUGCACCACAUGGUUGAAAAGUGAAAGACGGUCUUUCUGUAACUUCUCGAUGGAUCCGCGCUGCAUUAUCUAGUUGGUAAGGUAACGGGUUACCAAGGGAACGAUGCAUAGCCGACCUGAGAGGCGGAUCGGCCACACUGGAACUGAGACACGGUCCAGACUCCUACGGGAGGCAGCAGUAGGGAAUCUUCCGCAAUGGGCGAAAGCCUGACGGAGCAACGCCGCGUGAGUGAUGAAGGUCUUCGGAUCGUAAAACUCUGUUAUUAGGGAAGAACAUAUGUGUAAGUAACUGUGCACAGCUUGACGGUACCUAAUCAGAAAGCCACGGCUAACUACGUG